RNAcentral lists this transfer RNA (58 nucleotides) under Cephalozia hamatiloba subsp. siamensis. RNAcentral's name for it is "partial tRNA-Leu". It matches the Rfam family "tRNA", at positions 26 to 71 of the family's 71-position model. Rfam says of the family: Transfer RNA (tRNA) molecules are approximately 80 nucleotides in length. Their secondary structure includes four short double-helical elements and three loops (D, anti-codon, and T loops). Lineage: Eukaryota; Viridiplantae; Streptophyta; Jungermanniopsida; Jungermanniales; Cephaloziaceae. The record is from RNAcentral.
UCGGACUUAAAAUCCGUUGGCUUUUUAGACCGUGAGGGUUCAAGUCCCUCUACCCCCA